GUUGGUAUCGAUUAGGGGUUAAAUCACUUCGUUGUGGAAUUCAGCUCCGAAGAGCCGCUGGUUCGAUUCCAGCUACCGACA
RNAcentral lists this transfer RNA (81 nucleotides) under Desarmillaria tabescens. RNAcentral's name for it is "Armillaria tabescens (ringless honey mushroom) tRNA". It matches the Rfam family "tRNA". From Rfam's summary of the family: Transfer RNA (tRNA) molecules are approximately 80 nucleotides in length. Their secondary structure includes four short double-helical elements and three loops (D, anti-codon, and T loops). The record is from Rfam by way of RNAcentral. Lineage: Eukaryota; Fungi; Basidiomycota; Agaricomycetes; Agaricales; Physalacriaceae.